Molecule: ribosomal RNA, 253 nt
Filed under: uncultured bacterium
Lineage: Bacteria
Description: partial 16S ribosomal RNA
Rfam family: Bacterial small subunit ribosomal RNA
Source: RNAcentral
UACGAAGGGGGCUAGCGUUGCUCGGAAUCACUGGGCGUAAAGCGCACGUAGGCGGCUUUUUAAGUCAGGGGUGAAAUCCUGGAGCUCAACUCCAGAACUGCCUUUGAUACUGAGAGCUUGAGUCCGGGAGAGGUGAGUGGAACUGCGAGUGUAGAGGUGAAAUUCGUAGAUAUUCGCAAGAACACCAGUGGCGAAGGCGGCUCACUGGCCCGGUACUGACGCUGGAGGUGCGAAAGCGUGGGGAGCAAACAGG